GACGAACGCUGGCGGCGUGCUUAACACAUGCAAGUCGAACGGAAAGGCCCUGCUUUUGUGGGGUGCUCGAGUGGCGAACGGGUGAGUAACACGUGAGUAACCUGCCCCUGACUUUGGGAUAACUUCAGGAAACUGGGGCUAAUACCGGAUAGGAGCUCCUGCUGCAUGGUGGUGGUUGGAAAGUUUCGGCGGUUGGGGAUGGACUCGCGGCUUAUCAGCUUGGUGGUGGGGUAGUGGCUUACCAAGGCUUUGACGGGUAGCCGGCCUGAGAGGGUGACCGGCCACAUUGGGACUGAGAUACGGCCCAGAGUCCUACGGGAGGCAGCAGUGGGGAAUAUUGCACAAUGGGCGGAAGCCUGAUGCAGCAACGCCGCGUGCGGGAUGACGGCCUUCGGGUUGUAAACCGCUUUCGCCUGUGACGAAGCGUGAGUGACGGUAAUGGGUAAAGAAGCACCGGCUAACUACGUG
This 468-nucleotide ribosomal RNA is filed under the name uncultured bacterium. Its description in RNAcentral is "partial 16S ribosomal RNA". It matches the Rfam family "Bacterial small subunit ribosomal RNA", at positions 28 to 507 of the family's 1533-position model. The record is from RNAcentral.